Molecule: long non-coding RNA, 733 nt
Filed under: Cricetulus griseus (Chinese hamster)
Lineage: Eukaryota; Metazoa; Chordata; Mammalia; Rodentia; Cricetidae
Description: lncRNA (ENSCGRG00015035679.1)
Source: RNAcentral
CUGCCAUGGCGGGUGGGUGAAAGACCCGAGCUAACAUGGGGUUAGUUCGUUAAAUUACAAUAAAGCCUCGUGCAGUUUGCAGCAAGCUCUCGAAUCCGCCUGGUGAUUGGGGUGACCGCGAACCUGGCCUGAGACCCCGGAUACUUGAGUUUUCGGGGGUCUAACAUUUUGGGGGCUCGUCCGGGAUUUGCGACCACCCUUCACCUGAGUGGAUUCGAUCUUGGAGCACAUGGCACGGGAAAGGAGUUCUGCCAUGUGUCACGGGUUAGAAUGUGUUAUGUUGGAGUCCCCCGAGGCUGCUUUUCUGAACUCGAACCACUGCUGCAGCCCUUACAGCUGAGCCUGGCCCAUGUAGUUUAUAAUGUCAGACAGACUGCCAGAUCCUGACAGUGACCCAAAGUCUCCAAAGAAGAUUACGAGGCACCUCAGUUCCUACACCUGGACCAGUGAGCGAGAUGCUCAGAUGUGAUACCUGCCGCCUGCCAGAACCUGGCCGAGACUGUGGACAAAGCUGCUGGACACUGGAAAAUUGAUUGCACCCCUUUGCCUAGACAAAACAAGGUCAGUCUUUUCCAUGUCCCUCUUCCACAGAGAGGAAAAAAACUCUCACAGUAUAGGCCUGGCGAAGAUUGCUGGUCUUUGAGACAGCUGCCUCCAACGGUAAUGGAGAAACUUGGGUUUGGCUAACUGUAUAUAGACUGGCUUCUGUCACUUUUCAGUAGAUUCGGAUAAA